AUUGAACGCUGGCGGCAGGCUUAACACAUGCAAGUCGAGCGGGGGAAGGUAGCUUGCUACUGGACCUAGCGGCGGACGGGUGAGUAAUGCUUAGGAAUCUGCCUAUUAGUGGGGGACAACAUCUCGAAAGGGAUGCUAAUACCGCAUACGUCCUACGGGAGAAAGCAGGGGAUCUUCGGACCUUGCGCUAAUAGAUGAGCCUAAGUCGGAUUAGCUAGUUGGUGGGGUAAAGGCCUACCAAGGCGACGAUCUGUAGCGGGUCUGAGAGGAUGAUCCGCCACACUGGGACGGAGACAAGGCCCAGACUCCUACGGGGGGCAGCAGUGGGGAGUAUUGGACAAUGGGGGGAACCCUGAUCCAGCCAUGCCGCGUGUGUGAAGAAGGCCUUAUGGUUGUAAAGCACUUUAAGCGAGGAGGAGGCUACUCUGGUUAAUACCUAGGGAUAGUGGACGUUACUCGCAGAAUAAGCACCGGCUAACUCUGUGCCAGCCGCCGCCGUAA
Molecule: ribosomal RNA, 501 nt
Filed under: uncultured bacterium
Lineage: Bacteria
Description: partial 16S ribosomal RNA
Rfam family: Bacterial small subunit ribosomal RNA
Source: RNAcentral